This 531-nucleotide ribosomal RNA is filed under the name earthworm cast bacterium C4M1. RNAcentral's name for it is "bacterial SSU rRNA". It matches the Rfam family "Bacterial small subunit ribosomal RNA", at positions 43 to 569 of the family's 1533-position model. The record is from RNAcentral.
CAUGCCUUACACAUGCAAGUCGAACGGCAGCGCGGGGCAACCUGGCGGCGAGUGGCGAACGGGUGAGUAAUAUAUCGGAACGUACCCUGGAGUGGGGGAUAACGUAGCGAAAGUUACGCUAAUACCGCAUACGAUCUCAGGAUGAAAGUGGGGGAUUCGCAAGAACCUCAUGCUCCUGGAGCGGCCGAUAUCUGAUUAGCUAGUUGGUAGGGUAAAAGCCUACCAAGGCAUCGAUCAGUAGCUGGUCUGAGAGGACGACCAGCCACACUGGAACUGAGACACGGUCCAGACUCCUACGGGAGGCAGCAGUGGGGAAUUUUGGACAAUGGGCGCAAGCCUGAUCCAGCAAUGCCGCGUGAGUGAAGAAGGCCUUCGGGUUGUAAAGCUCUUUUGUCAGGGAAGAAACGGGUUUUUCUAAUACAGAGAUCUAAUGACGGUACCUGAAGAAUAAGCACCGGCUAACUACGUGCCAGCAGCCGCGGUAAUACGUAGGGUGCAAGCGUUAAUCGGAAUUACUGGGCGUAAAGCGUG